GACGAACGCUGGCGGCGUGCCUAAUACAUGCAAGUUGAGCGCUGAAGGAUGGUACUUGUACCAACUGGAUGAGCAGCGAACGGGUGAGUAACGCGUGGGGAAUCUGCCUUUGAGCGGGGGACAACAUUUGGAAACGAAUGCUAAUACCGCAUAAAAACUUUAAACACAAGUUUUAAGUUUGAAAGAUGCAAUUGCAUCACUCAAAGAUGAUCCCGCGUUGUAUUAGCUAGUUGGUGAGGAAAAGGCUCACCAAGGCGAUGAUACAUAGCCGACCUGCGAGGGUGAUCGGCCACAUUGGGACUGAAACAACGCCCAAACUCCUACGGGAGGCAGCAGUAGGGAAUCUUCGGCAAUGGACGACAGUCUGACCGCGCAACGCCGCGUGAGUGAAGAAGGUUUUCGGGUCGUAAAACUCUGUUGGUAGAGAAGAACGUUGGUGAGAGUGGAAAGCUCAUCAAGUGACGGUAACUACCCAGAAAGGGACGGCUAACUACGUG
Molecule: ribosomal RNA, 497 nt
Filed under: uncultured bacterium
Lineage: Bacteria
Description: partial 16S ribosomal RNA
Rfam family: Bacterial small subunit ribosomal RNA
Source: RNAcentral